UCAUUACCGAGCUAGGGUCUCUGGGCCCGAACCUCCAACCUAUGUUUACCCUUCCUCUGUUGCUUUGGCGGGCCGUGGCCCCGCCACCGCCGGCGUUGCCGGUGAGCCCGCCAGAGGCUGUCAAAACUCAACCAUCAGGGCUGUCUGAGAACUACACAAUAAUCAAAACUUUCAACAACGGAUCUCUUGGUUCUGGCAUCGAUGAAGAACGCAGCGAAAUGCGAUAAGUAAUGUGGAUUGCAGAAUUCAGUGGAUCAUCGAAUCUUUGAACGCACAUUGCGCCCCCUUGGUAUUCCGGGGGGCAUGCCUGUUCGAGCGUCAUUUCAAUCCUCAAGCUCUGCUUGGUGUUGGGCUUCGCCCCCGGGGCGUGCCUGGAACCAGCGGCGGGUCACGCCUGGGCUUCAAGCGCAGUAAAACUCUUGCUUGAAGCCUGGUCCGGAGACCAGCCUCAACGAAAACCCAUCACGUUUGACCUCGGAUCAGGUAGGGAUACCCGCUGAACUUUAAGCAUAUCAAUAAGCGGAGGAAAAGAAACCAACAGGGAUUGCCUCAGUAACGGCGAGUGAAGCGGCAACAGCUCAAAUUUGAAAUCUGGCCUGUCUAGGGUCCGAGUUGUAAUUUGUAGAGGAAGCUUCGGGUGCGGCCCGGUCUAAGUUCCUUGGAACAGGACGUCACAGAGGGUGAGAAUCCCGUAUGUGACCGGAAGCCAACCUCAUGUGAAGCUCCUUCGACGAGUCGAGUUGUUUGGGAAUGCAGCUCUAAAUGGGUGGUAUAUUUCAUCUAAAGCUAAAUACUGGCCAGAGACCGAUAGCGCACAGGUAGAGUGAUCGAAAGAUGAAAAGCACUUUGGAAAGAGAGUUAAACAGUACGUGAAAUUGUUGAAAGGGAAGCGCUUGCAACCAGACUUGCCCGCGGCCGAUCAGCCGGUGUUCUCACCGGUGCACUCGGUCGCGGUCAGGCCAGCAUUGGUUUGGGCGGUGGGACAAAGGCCGCGGGAAUGUGGCUCCCCCGGGAGUGUUAUAGCCCGUGGCGCAAUGCCACCUGCCUGGACCGAGGACCGCGCUUCGGCUAGGAUGCUGGCGUAAUGGUUGUAAGCGACC
RNAcentral lists this ribosomal RNA (1100 nucleotides) under uncultured fungus. RNAcentral's name for it is "eukaryotic LSU rRNA". The stretch from base 470 to 1100 matches the Rfam family "Eukaryotic large subunit ribosomal RNA", at positions 1 to 649 of the family's 3401-position model. Lineage: Eukaryota; Fungi. The record is from RNAcentral.